This is a long non-coding RNA of Corvus hawaiiensis (hawaiian crow), 259 nucleotides long. RefSeq lists it as uncharacterized. The transcript is spliced from 4 exons. The record is from RefSeq and is a predicted model, not a curated record. Lineage: Eukaryota; Metazoa; Chordata; Aves; Passeriformes; Corvidae.
UGAAAAAUUAUUAAAGGAUCAGGAGCAUGGAUCAUUGACAGAAUUAUGGGAUCAAUAAAAGCACUGUACAAGCAAGAGCCUGCAAGAAAAAGGCCUGUGUGAGAAAAACUCUCCAUGAGAAAAUCCCUGUGUGAAAAACAGGGCUGGGAACAAGAAGGGAGUUUGAGAAGGUACAGCUGUGGAGAUAAGACCCGGAGGGAGGAGGGUGAACUCUGAAUUCUUUUAAUCAUAACAUAACUGUAGAAGCUUGCCAAUGUAA